GAAUUUUGGACAAUGGGCGAAAGCCUGAUCCAGCAAUGCCGCGUGCAGGAUGAAGGCCUUCGGGUUGUAAACUGCUUUUGUACGGAACGAAAAGUCUCGGGAUAAUAACCCGGAGUCAUGACGGUACCGUACGCAUAAGCACCCGCUACCUACGUGCCAGCAGCCGCGGUAAUACGCAGGGUGCAAGCGUUAAUCGGAAUUACUGGGCGUAAAGCGUGCGCAGGCGGUUUUGUAAGACAGAGGUGAAAUCCCCGGGCUCAACCUGGGAACUGCCUUUGUGACUGCAAGGCUAGAGUACGGCAGAGGGGGGUGGAAUUCCGCGUGUAGCAGUGAAAUGCGUAGAUAUGCGGAGGAACACCGAUGGCGAAGGCAACCCCCUGGGCCUGUACUGACGCUCAUGCACGAAAGCGUGGGGAGCAAACAG
This 424-nucleotide ribosomal RNA is filed under the name uncultured bacterium. Its description in RNAcentral is "partial 16S ribosomal RNA". It matches the Rfam family "Bacterial small subunit ribosomal RNA", at positions 359 to 775 of the family's 1533-position model. The record is from RNAcentral.